Molecule: long non-coding RNA, 137 nt
Organism: Pygocentrus nattereri (red-bellied piranha)
Lineage: Eukaryota; Metazoa; Chordata; Actinopteri; Characiformes; Serrasalmidae
Exons: 2
Source: RefSeq, a predicted model, not a curated record
AGUAGGUUAGGGAAGCAGCCGUGUCAUGGUCAAGCUUUCGAACACAAAACCAAUCCUCGUAUCAUCUGUGAGCCUUGGCAAUUCAUAAUCUUUUUACAGUAAAAAUGUGUCUCAGUAAAGAACAGAAGACAACGUCA